AUCAACUUUCGAUGGUAGGAUAGAGGCCUACCAUGGUGGUAACGGGUAACGGGGUGUUAGGGCACGACACCGGAGAGGGAGCCUGAGAAACGGCUACCACAUCCAAGGAUGGCAGCAGGCGCGCAAAUUACCCAAUCCCGACACGGGGAGGUAGUGACAAUAAAUAACAAUACGGGGUUCUUUUGGAUUUUGUAAUUGGAAUGAGUACAAUUUAAAUCUCUUAACGAGGAACAAUUGGAGGGCAAGUCUGGUGCCAGCAGCCGCGGUAAUUCCAGCUCCAAUAGCGUAUAUUAAAGUUGUUGCAGUUAAAAAGCUCGUAGUUGAAUUUCGGGAUCAGUGGGUCGGUCGUGCCACUGGUAUGCACUGGCCCUACUGGUUCCUCCUUCUUGAAGAACUGUAAUGCCAUUAAUUUGGUGUUGCAGGGAAACAAGACUGUUACUUUGAAAAAAUUAGAGUGUUUAAAGCAGGCAAUCGCUUGAAUACAUUAGCAUGGAAUAAUGAAAUAGGACGUUCGAUCCUAUUUUGUUGGUUUCUAGGAUUGACGUAAUGAUUAAUAGGGAUAGUUGGGGGCAUUAGUAUUCAAUUGUCAGAGGUGAAAUUCUUGGAUUUAUUGAAGACUAACUACUGCGAAAGCAUUUGCCAAGGAUGUUUUCAUUAAUCAAGAACGAAAGUUAGGGGAUCGAAGACGAUCAGAUACCGUCGUAGUCUUAACCAUAAACUAUGCCGACUAGGGAUCGGAUGAUGUUAUUUUUAAUGACUCAUUCGGCGCCUUACGGGAAACCAAAGUGUUUGGGUUC
Molecule: ribosomal RNA, 797 nt
Filed under: uncultured Glomeromycotina
Lineage: Eukaryota; Fungi; Glomeromycota
Description: SSU rRNA
Rfam family: Eukaryotic small subunit ribosomal RNA
Source: RNAcentral